CUAGUAAUCGCGGAUCAGCACGCCGCGGUGAAUACGUUCCCGGGCCUUGUACACACCGCCCGUCACACCAUGAGAGUCUGUAACACCCAAAGCCGGUGGGAUAACCUUUAUAGGAGUCAGCCGUCUAAGGUAGGACAGAUGAUUAGGGUGAAGUCGUAACAAGGUAGC
Molecule: ribosomal RNA, 168 nt
Filed under: uncultured bacterium
Lineage: Bacteria
Description: partial 16S ribosomal RNA
Rfam family: Bacterial small subunit ribosomal RNA
Source: RNAcentral